AUUGAACGCUGGCGGCAUGCCUUACACAUGCAAGUCGAACGGCAGCACGGGGCAACCUGGUGGCGAGUGGCGAACGGGUGAGUAAUGCAUCGGAACGUACCUUUCAGUGGGGGAUAACGUAGCGAAAGUUACGCUAAUACCGCAUAUUCUGUGAGCAGGAAAGCAGGGGAUCGCAAGACCUUGCGCUGAUUGAGCGGCCGAUGUCAGAUUAGCUAGUUGGUGAGGUAAAGGCUCACCAAGGCGACGAUCUGUAGCGGGUCUGAGAGGAUGAUCCGCCACACUGGAACUGAGACACGGUCCAGACUCCUACGGGAGGCAACAGUGGGGAAGUUUGGACAAUGGGGGCAACCCUGAUCCAGCCAUGCCGCGUGAGGGAAGAAGGCCUUCGGGUUGUAAAGCUCUUUCGGCCGGGAAGAAAUCGCACGGGCUAAUACCCUGUGUGGAUGACGGUACCGGAAUAAGAAGCACCGGCUAACUACGUGCCAGCCGCCGCGGUAA
This 498-nucleotide ribosomal RNA is filed under the name uncultured bacterium. RNAcentral describes it as "partial 16S ribosomal RNA". It matches the Rfam family "Bacterial small subunit ribosomal RNA", at positions 30 to 523 of the family's 1533-position model. The record is from RNAcentral.